RNAcentral lists this transfer RNA (70 nucleotides) under Palea steindachneri (wattle-necked softshell turtle). RNAcentral describes it as "tRNA-Arg". The record is from RNAcentral. Lineage: Eukaryota; Metazoa; Chordata; Testudines; Trionychidae.
GGACAACUAAUUUAAACUAAAAUAACUAAUUUCGACUUAGUCAAUCAUGGCUGAUAAACAUGGUUGCCCA